UAACCAGGCCCAACCCUGCUUAGCUUCCGAGAUCAGAUGAGAUCGGGCGCGUUGAGGGUGGUAUGGCCGUAGACUUGGCUAUUGUAAAUAAUGCUGCAAUGAACCUGGUGGUACAGUAGGCUCCAUGCCCAGUGUGGAGCCCAACGUGAGGCUUGAACCAAUGACCCUGAGGAUGAGGACCUGAGCUGAGAUGAAGAGUCAGAAACUUAACCAACUGAGCCACCCAGGUCUUAAUCAUUUUCAGAGUGGUCUUUGAAAUUUAAGAUGGAGGGGGAAAAAAAAUCAAGAGUGACUGAUUUUGUUAAAGGCAGAGUCUGAGAAGAUGAAAACCUGCUGACAGCGAGAUGAGGAAGCCUACAAGGAGUAAAUGUACUUAAGAUGCUCACACCACCAGGUCAGUGGAGGUACUUGGUAAAGGUGUAUUCUGUAAGGACGAGGUCUGGGGGAAAAAACAACAACACACACAACACAUACAAAACCCCACAAAAAACAAUGUGCCCCUCUGCCUCCCAGAUCUGUGAUUGUGGUGCCUAUGAAGAAGGCUAGAGCCAGAGAGGCCUAAAUGGGACUUCUUUUUGGCACUAUAUACUCAUUCCUGGUCAUAUCUGUUAGUUAAGUUACUUAGUUUCUGUUACCACCGAUGCUGCAGAUAGAAAAGGAAGACAAA
Mirounga angustirostris (Northern elephant seal) is the source of this 667-nucleotide long non-coding RNA. RefSeq lists it as uncharacterized. NCBI's taxonomy places the organism in Eukaryota, Metazoa, Chordata, Mammalia, Carnivora, Phocidae. The transcript is spliced from 3 exons. The record is from RefSeq and is a predicted model, not a curated record.